Molecule: long non-coding RNA, 1899 nt
Organism: Canis lupus familiaris (dog)
Lineage: Eukaryota; Metazoa; Chordata; Mammalia; Carnivora; Canidae
Exons: 7
Source: RefSeq, a predicted model, not a curated record
UGCCCCUAGACCUGAUUGUUUUUAAGUGUCAAAUGACAAAACUAAACUUAGCAAUGAGUUUGAUGUCUUUUAUUCAAGGGAAAAUAAUCUGUGGAUCGGGGAAAUACACUGCUUCACAAGCAGUGGCACAUUUUUCUGGAAGGGUUUAGGGCAAGAAUGAGUUUGACACAGCAACAUGGAAAUAGGGCUUGGUUGGCUAGGAGAUUGGAGAUCUCCUUAUAGAGCUAGCAGGUCUUACUUUUCCUUAUAAAGCUAGUGGGUCCUGUUUUCUUGGGUAAGGAGCUGGCUGCCUUUGGUUUGGAUUUAUGACAUGGGCUGGACCACUGGGGUGGCCUCUGUUUUGUGGGUCCCAAUAUACAAAUGAACUUGAUCACAAGUAACAGGCCAUAUUUGAAGUAGAUAGUAACUAUCCUAUGGAGGGACAGUUGCAAGAAUUAAUGCUUUCUUGAUGAGCGCUGGGUUAGUGCUUUGUAAAGAGUCUUGAAGUUUCUGCUUCAUCUUUGUCUCUGGCACUUGGUGGGCUCAAGUCUACUUAGAAAGGCAUGUCUGUAUGCCCAGGACCUGCUUCAGAUGCAGUGUUUCCCAGCCUUCACUUCAAAGCAGCAUUGUGGAAUCAAGCAGUGGGAAUAUUUGAGAAAGCUGUCUGUCAUUCUCCAGGGGUUCCGACUUGCAAGGGCUCAACAAUCUACUCAUUUGACUUAUUACCAGGAUGUAUGAUUUUGAGUUCUUAAGAUGGCCUUAUAGAAGAUGCAGCAUCUGACAGCAAUGGCCCAAGAGCCUUGCACAUCUGAAGUCAGCAUCUAGAAAUGGUGACCCCUCUAACACUGCUCCCAUUCUAAGACUCAGUGAGCUCAUCCUUGGAGAUAAGAAGAGCCGUUUUCCUUUGUAAGGAGACACUGCUAUUUCCCCCCUUGCCUAUCAUAAUUGGCAGCACAUCCCUUUUGAGUUCAGACAAGGCUUGAAACUUUCAAUGACUUGAAACUUAGAAGUGCAGAUGCUCUUAGAAGUGCGCUCACAUAUCAGUCCCCUUCACCUGGCUGGCACGGCGAUGAUUUGAUUGCUCCAGGCAAAAAUCCAGGUUUUGUGAAAGCAUGCACUUGCCUACAGAGCCUGUCUGCUGUUAGCACAGAAACCUAAUGAGGGUGUUCUACUGGAGGUGAAAUAUAUGCCCAUUACAGCUCCAGAAUAUCAUGGUUGGAAAAGGGGGAUGCUUCCAGGGUGUAUUUUACCUCUCAGGGGAUAGUUGACAAUGCCCGGAGGCAUUUUUCGUUGUCAUAACUGUGGGGGGUGCUUCUGGUGUCUAGUAGGUAGAGGCCAGGGAUUGCUGCGAAACAUUCUCCAGUGCUCAGGACAACCUCCUCCUCCCCACAGGCAAAGAAUUAUCCCACCCAAAAUGUAAAAAGUGUCAGGAUUGAAAAACUCUGGCAUGGAGGAACUUUGAGGACCUUGGACCCAAAAGGAAAAAGGAGGGGUUUGUUCUCAUGCUUGUGGGAAACCCUGCUGGGGAAGAAUAUAGAGCCGUGUAUCUUGACUACACAGUGCUUUUCCAUUCAUAACAUGCUCUCUUAUUAUUAUGGAUUAUAUGUCUGUGUCCCCUCCCAUCCCCCAAGUUAAUCUCUUGAAAUCUUAACACUCAGUGUGAUUAUAUUAGGAGGUGAGGCUUUGGGAAGUGAUUAGGUCAGGAGGGUGGAGCCCUCAUGAAUGGGAUUCAUGCCCUCAUCAAAGGAACUCCAGAGAGCUCUCGCUCCUGCUCUCUGUCCACCGUGUGAGGACACAAUGAGAAGUCAGUGGUCUGCAUCCCAGAAGAGUAGCCUCAUCAGAAUCCGACCAUGCUGGCAAUUCUGAUCUUGGACGUCAGCCUCCAGAACCAUGAGAAAUACAAUUAUGUUGUUUAAGCCA